This 366-nucleotide ribosomal RNA is filed under the name Triticum aestivum (bread wheat). Its description in RNAcentral is "partial small subunit ribosomal RNA". Lineage: Eukaryota; Viridiplantae; Streptophyta; Magnoliopsida; Poales; Poaceae. The record is from RNAcentral.
AUGGCGGCUGUUGCUGCAAAGCCACACGUUUUGGUGGCCUGUGCCUUGCUGCUCCUCGCUGUGGGGUGCCAGGCCAGAUCUUUCUGGCCACUGGAGAUCGGCUACUACCACGACAAAUGCCCCCAGGCGGAGGCUGUCGUCAAGGGCGUCAUGGAGAAGGCCAUCUCUCAGAACCCCGGCAAUGGCGCCGCCAUGAUCCGCAUGCUCUUCCACGACUGUUUCGUCGAGGGCUGUCAUGCUUCCGUCCUCCUGGACCCGACCCCGUUCAGCCCGACGCCGGAGAAACUCAGCCCGCCGAACGACCCUACCCUACGCGGCUUCGAGCUGAUUCGAGGCGGCCUGCCCGGGCGUCGUCUCAUGUGCUGA